AUGCCAGCGCACCUCGCGGGAACCACAGAAAUGUUCCUCCCGACCCAGAGUGUACACCGAACCGCAACUCACACCAGUUGCAGGAUGAGACCAUCCAGAGACUUUGAGAUGUUCUGCUCUCACACCAGGCCCGUGACUCCCAGGCUUCCCAGAUGGUUAAAUCAUGGUUUGUCCUGUUCCUGUGUGGGUCUCCAUCUUGUCUGGUUUGAUUUCCUCUGCAUCGACGACACUGCAGCAGCAUCAGGCACACUGGACUAAAGCCUCCGUCCAACUGAACCAGGGCUAGCUGGAUAUCCACGGGCAAGGAUCUUUCAGUCCUUGCCUGAACUGCAACAGAGCUGACUGGAUCUCCGGAGGAACAGUCGUAUGCAGCAAUACCAAAUUCAUCUUCAAAGCCAGACCAGCGGGCCCAGGAGCUCCAGAGUCAGGUAUAGUGCUUACUGCUAGGCCCAGGUUAUUUCAAGCCGGCCUCAGAUUCCGACUAUCAUUCUUUCUGCACGCAUCACUUUCAAUGCAUCUUGAACAAAAACAGCAUUUUGGGGAGCAAAUUAGAAAUAUUGUCAUCCCAGUUGUGCUUCAAUGAUUCAAUCUGGUUUAGCUUGUGUUAUGCCAUUUUGUUUUGGGAUGCAGAGAUGUAUGUCCACUGCACAAGCAGCGAAGUCAACUGAUAAACAUGUUCUGUAUGUCAAACAAGCACUUAGUCACAUUGACAAGCAAAACGAACUCUGAAGAUUGAUGGCUGGGUUCUUUACAUAGUACCAGAGAAGAAAAUUCUGCUUGCCACCUUCCACCAGAGAAAAAGCACUGACCAAUCUGAAUCCCUGGCUUUGUUGAUUGCUGGUGUAUGUGUCACUUGUUGCUGAGCCUCUGGGCAGACUCUAUUUGUGAUGUUCAAUCAGAGCCUGAGGUGUCAUCUCAGUCGCACUCCCUCAGUAUUGUUGACUGGAGCAUUCACAGUGCUGCCUUACCUACUCUCUGCGUAUUACUCUGUCUCCCUACCACACUGACCAUAUGAUCUCUCACCAUUUUCUCUCACUUUUUUUACCAACUCUGUCACUCACUCCGCGAGCUGCUUACUAAUUUCUUUUUUGUACUUUAUUUCUGUCCAUCACAAAUUGAAGAUACCCUGUGGAUUUUUUUGCUACUAGUGGCACUGUAGAGCAAAGUUUCAAUAAGCAGUAUUUCCACCAUUGACUGUCUAUAAAAAUGGACGUAGUCACUGGGUCCAGAAAAUGAAGCCAAUGCUGAAUUGCCUAAAACCUGUAUUCUCUGGAAUGACCAGCAGAGGCCGACUCCACUGGUUGCAAAAAGAAGUUGAUUUCUAUAGAAAAAGAAAAUGACUCUACUUCUCACUUGAUUUAUAAUGUCAUUAAACAUUUUCCUGAGGAGUUUAUGGUCUCAAUCUCUAGUUUUAAGUCUUAAUUCAAUACAAAAUGAUGUUAAUUUUUGUAAAUAACUGUCAAAUUUAGAGUAAAUUAGAUGAUGAAGCACGGUAUGCUAAUAAAGCUUGUGCCGUCCAGCGAGUCACAAGUGUAGGUGGACGUGCAGUGGAUGAGCUCUCAGUAAGACCCUGCCCCCCUCGCUCCUCUAGGUAUGGUUACUUCUGGUUUCAAAAAAACAAAAAGGCAGCUUACAAAUCAAUUGUUAACCUCACUGUGGGUUUCCACGUAUUAUUCAAACCUCCACCCUCUCUUUCUUUCAACCCCAAACAGUCGAGACUGAUGGCGAUGUAUGGUUCUGCUCAAGGUCUCUUCCUGUUGUAAGUUGGCGCUACACAAAUUAAAUUUAAUUUUGAUAACUGAUUUGAAGUGUGUCAUAGGUAGGAAAUGUGUUCAAAACUUUUGCUAGUCAUCAAGAAUACAC
Long non-coding RNA from Scophthalmus maximus (turbot), 1863 nucleotides. The record is from Ensembl. Lineage: Eukaryota; Metazoa; Chordata; Actinopteri; Pleuronectiformes; Scophthalmidae.